AUGUAGCUCAGUAGUAGAGCACUUGCCUAACAUGUGUGAAGCACUGGGUUCAAUCCCCAGUAU
RNAcentral lists this transfer RNA (63 nucleotides) under Heterocephalus glaber (naked mole-rat). It matches the Rfam family "tRNA", at positions 5 to 66 of the family's 71-position model. From Rfam's summary of the family: Transfer RNA (tRNA) molecules are approximately 80 nucleotides in length. Their secondary structure includes four short double-helical elements and three loops (D, anti-codon, and T loops). Lineage: Eukaryota; Metazoa; Chordata; Mammalia; Rodentia; Bathyergidae. The record is from Rfam by way of RNAcentral.